This 75-nucleotide transfer RNA is filed under the name Pseudomonadota bacterium. RNAcentral describes it as "Proteobacteria bacterium tRNA-Gln". It matches the Rfam family "tRNA". Rfam says of the family: Transfer RNA (tRNA) molecules are approximately 80 nucleotides in length. Lineage: Bacteria; Pseudomonadati; Pseudomonadota. The record is from RNAcentral.
UGGGGUGUCGACAAGCGGUAAGUCCCUGGAUUUUGAUUCCAGUAUUCCUAGGUUCGAAUCCUAGCACCCCAACCA